CAGUCGCCGCGGUAAUACGUAGGGUGCGAGCGUUAAUCGGAAUUACUGGGCGUAAAGCGUGCGCAGGCGGUGAUGUAAGACAGUUGUGAAAUCCCCGGGCUCAACCUGGGAACUGCAUCUGUGACUGCAUCGCUGGAGUGCGGCAGAGGGGGAUGGAAUUCCGCGUGUAGCAGUGAAAUGCGUAGAUAUGCGGAGGAACACCGAUGGCGAAGGCAAUCCCCUGGGCCUGCACUGACGCUCAUGCACGAAAGCGUGGGGAGCAAACAGGAUUAGAUACCCUGGUAGUCUCUGUCUCUUAUAC
Molecule: ribosomal RNA, 301 nt
Filed under: uncultured bacterium
Lineage: Bacteria
Description: partial 16S ribosomal RNA
Rfam family: Bacterial small subunit ribosomal RNA
Source: RNAcentral